AUGGAGAGCGAGACGGCGGCGCGCGGUGGCCGGAGCCAGCCGCUGGCGGAGGAGGCGGUGGGGUCCAGCCGCACCAUGGAGCGCGUCGCGGCUGCGAAGAAGAUCAUCGAGAACGACUACCGCGAGCGCAUGAAGAAUCUCCGGGAGCGCAACGAGAGCCGGCCUCGCGGCGCCAUUGUCCAAGAAAAUCAAGGACGCUUGAUUUUGGAACAACAGCUAGCUUCUUCUCAAGUUCCUAGGGAGGAGCAGAUAAAAUUGAUAAAGGAGUUGCAGAGGAAGGAGACUGAAUACAUGAGACUUAAAAGGCAUAGAAUUUGUGUGGAUGACUUUGAGCUGCUCACCAUCAUUGGAAGAGGUGCUUAUGGGGAGGUUCAACUAUGCCGGGAUAAAUCCUCUGGUAAUAUUUAUGCAAUGAAAAAACUAAAGAAGUCUGAAAUGGUUGUCAAGGGUCAGGUGGAGCAUGUUAGAUCUGAAAGAAACUUGCUGGCUGAAGUUGGUAGCCACUGCAUUGUGAAGCUAUACUAUUCUUUCCAAGAUGCUGAGUAUCUCUACCUUAUCAUGGAGUACCUUCCUGGAGGUGAUAUGAUGACCCUCCUCAUGAGAGAGGAUACCUUAACUGAAAAUGUGGCUCGAUUCUAUAUUGCUGAGACAGUUCUUGCCAUUGAGUCUAUUCAUAAACAUAAUUACAUCCACAGGGAUAUUAAGCCUGAUAAUCUCCUUCUCGAUAAGAAUGGACACAUGAAGUUGUCAGAUUUUGGCUUAUGCAAGCCAAUUGACUGUACCAAAUUGUCAACCUUGAAUGAAGAUGAACCUAUGACUGAUGAAAACCUUAGGGAGUCCAUGGAUAUUGAUUACUCUCUCUCUGAUACAGCAAAUGGUAGAAGGUGGAGAAGUCCAAAUGAACAGCUUCAGCAUUGGCAGAAGAACAGGAGAAAAUUGGCAUUUUCUACUGUCGGUACGCCUGAUUAUAUUGCUCCUGAGGUUUUACUGAAAAAGGGAUAUGGAGUUGAGUGUGACUGGUGGUCCCUGGGUGCAAUCAUGUAUGAGAUGCUUGUUGGGUAUCCACCAUUCUAUUCUGAUGAUCCAAUAACCACAUGCCGAAAGAUUGUACAUUGGAGAAGCUAUUUAAAAUUUCCAGAAAAUCCAAGGUUGUCUCCUGAAGCUAAGGAUCUGAUUUGUCGGUUCUUAUGUGAUGUUGACCACAGGAUUGGCAGUGGAGGAGCAGAUCAAAUAAAGGCUCAUCCUUGGUUUCAUGGAGUUGAAUGGGAUAAGCUUUAUGAAAUGGAGGCGGCGUUUAAGCCUCAAGUAAAUGAUGAACUGGAUACACAGAAUUUUCAGAAGUUUGAUGAGGUAAAUCCCGCUCCAGCAAGAACAGGUUCUGGGUCCUCAAGGAAGAUGAUUCCUAAUUCUAAAGACCUUAGCUUUGUGGGCUAUACAUACAAGAACUUCGAAGCUGUGAAAGGUUUGCGUCAGUCUGCAGGUCUGGGAAGAAGCUCCUCGUUUACAAGCCAGCCUAGUGAAUCUGCAUCUAAUACAGCCGACAUGGAUUCAUCAGCAGAACCCAAUGGAAGCGAAACACACAUGCGCACUGUUUCGUCUGCCGAUCAUAUGAUGCAAUAA
Molecule: ribosomal RNA, 1620 nt
Filed under: Triticum aestivum (bread wheat)
Lineage: Eukaryota; Viridiplantae; Streptophyta; Magnoliopsida; Poales; Poaceae
Description: partial small subunit ribosomal RNA
Source: RNAcentral